AUGGAUUUUAGGUACCUGAGAAAAGUUUAUCUCCUCUUCUCUGAAUAACCAAAAUUCAUCUUUAUGUGUAGUAUAGAUUAUUUUUCUCUCUAGAGGAGAGAAUAUCUGCUCUUCUAAGGUCCAAAAUUAAUAAUUAGAUAUUUAAAUCGAAGAUCCAUAUCCUUGAUUAUGAUGUAUACUACUAAAAAUAUCUACACACCAAAAAUCAUGUGUCCUAGUGAUUCCUAAAUUUUAUAUCAAUGAAGUAAAAUG
RNAcentral lists this long non-coding RNA (252 nucleotides) under Elaeis guineensis (African oil palm). RNAcentral describes it as "long non-coding RNA (EGUI_LNC020003)". Lineage: Eukaryota; Viridiplantae; Streptophyta; Magnoliopsida; Arecales; Arecaceae. The record is from RNAcentral.